CACCAGCGCCACGAGUGGGAAUCGCAUAUUUGGCCUAAAGCGUCCGUAGCCGGUCUUGUAAAUUCCCUGUGAAAUCGUUGUGCUUAACAUAACGGCGUGCAGGGAAGACUGCUUGACUCGGAAUCGGGGGGGGUCGGGAGUAUUCGAUGGGGAGCGGUAAAAUGCGAUAAUCCAUUGAAGACUACCUGUGGCGAAGGCGCCCGACCAGAACGAAUUCGACGGUGAGGGACGAAAGCUGGGGGAGCGAUCC
Molecule: ribosomal RNA, 250 nt
Filed under: uncultured bacterium
Lineage: Bacteria
Description: partial 16S ribosomal RNA
Rfam family: Archaeal small subunit ribosomal RNA
Source: RNAcentral